UAUUACUUGUAUAACGACCGUGGCUUCUGAAGCCAGGCGUCAAUCUCUCAAUUAACCAGAAUAAAAAAAAAGAAAAUGGGGGAGUAACGUAAACACGUUACAUUCUCCCCACAUCUUCUCCCUCUGUUAUCUCUCUUUCAUUUUCUUUUGAAACUCUAAAUCCCACCUUCCCCUUCUUCUUCUCAUAGAUAGCCAACUUACUCCUUCUGCUCCGGAUAAUAUCUGGCCAUUCACGCUCUGUUUAUCGCUCUCCCUAUCUCCCAAAUCCUCAUUUUCUUAAGGCAUAUCUCUCGCUCCCGAACGCCGUAUCUUCAACAUCGUUUUUGUCAACCUCCGUGUGAAAACCCUAACCCACCGAGCUAAGCGGAGAGAUGCCGGCAAUGCUGAGAGACUGGGAUCUCUGUUGCGGGCUUCAGACUCUCACGAAGAGCGUUAGCCCGGCGGCUUGCUUCAAGGCAACUGACGAAUCGCAUCGCACUUCCUCAGCAACGGCGGUUGCAGCUACAAAGGUCCAAUCAUCAUCUUUUCAGGCGUCUUCGUUGUCGAUUGCUGCCUGUGCGAUUAGGGUUCAUGGAAAAGGAUCCUGGGAACAAAUUUUUUUUGGUCUGAUUUGUCAGAUUCAUUUAAAGAUCGGUGGUAGUUCUCAAGAGGAAAUCAGCCUAGGGUUCAUGUCACUUUUCCUCUCUCUUAUCUUGGGAAACAACAAGUUAGGUGGGAAUUUUUACGGCGGCCCUGUCCUUUCUCUGUCCCCUUCCAUCAUGUGGUGUGUUUCACUGUUCAGUCCGAAUUUUCUGUGAUGUAGAUGAAACAAAUGAACUAUGCUUAGUGUCAACUGAUUCAGUAAAGCUUCUCUCUAAUCUCACCCGUUGGAAGGAAUGUUGGAAGAUAACACUCAGAAUCAUCAGAAUAUGGAGUUUAAUUGAUUAUACGGAUCUGAAUGAAGAACAUGCUUUUCUUCAGCUUCUGAUAAUGGAUAAAGAAAUUUUAUUCCAGGCUGAAAAUGCUAGAAUAAUUGCAAUAACUAAUGGGAUUCUUAUUUUUACCCGUUCUUCAACUGUGCAGCAACUUUUGGGUUCAGAGAAGAUGGUUGGCAAAGUUAAGCGUGAUGGAUGAAGAUUUGUUUUUGAUGGUCCGCUCUGGUGUUUGCAGUGACGGUGGUGGCACUACUAGGAAUAUGUUCUUGGCUUUACACAAGGUUGUGCUCAGGAUUAGAAAAAGGAAAAGCCUCCUUGAAGAGGUUGACAAGAUCCUUGAAGCUCAAAUUUGAUGAUGCUAAUGCUUUUGAGGAUGAAUCUGCAUCUGGUGAGGGGGUUCAAGUGACAUGGUUUUGCAUGUCAUUUAACUAGAGCUACUGAUUAGGAUUUAUAGGGCAUUAGAUAUAGGUGAUGCAAAUGUGUCCACUCUUCUUUGGUAUGUAAUGUGAAUGUUUUUUAGUUGUCUCAAAUUUAAUUAUGUAGUUCUUUAUCUUUGCAGUGCAGCUCUAUAUAGGCCAAUAAAAUGCAGUAGCUCUUUAGUGAUAUAUAUUAGAUUUUGUUUUGGCAAAUGAUUUAUAUUUGAAGAGUUAUAUAUAUACUGUGUUGCGAAUUUUAUUCAAGAAAAAA
Molecule: non-coding RNA, 1601 nt
Organism: Arachis ipaensis
Lineage: Eukaryota; Viridiplantae; Streptophyta; Magnoliopsida; Fabales; Fabaceae
Source: RefSeq, a predicted model, not a curated record